RNAcentral lists this ribosomal RNA (1079 nucleotides) under fungal endophyte. RNAcentral describes it as "eukaryotic LSU rRNA". The stretch from base 484 to 1079 matches the Rfam family "Eukaryotic large subunit ribosomal RNA", at positions 1 to 609 of the family's 3401-position model. The record is from RNAcentral. Lineage: Eukaryota; Fungi.
CGGAGGGUCAUUACAGAGUUAUCCAACUCCCAAACCCAUGUGAACUUAUCUCUUUGUUGCCUCGGCGCAAGCUACCCGGGACCCAGCGCCCCGGGCGGCCCGCCGGCGGACAAACCAAAACUCUUGUUAUCUUAGUUGAUUAUCUGAGCGUCUUAUUUAAUAAGUCAAAACUUUCAACAACGGAUCUCUUGGUUCUGGCAUCGAUGAAGAACGCAGCGAAAUGCGAUAAGUAAUGUGAAUUGCAGAAUUCAGUGAAUCAUCGAAUCUUUGAACGCACAUUGCGCCCAUUAGUAUUCUAGUGGGCAUGCCUGUUCGAGCGUCAUUUCAACCCCUAAGCACAGCUUACUGUUGGGACUCUACGGCCCCCGUAGUUCCCCAAAGCCAUUGGCGGAGUGGCAGUAGUCCUCUGAGCGUAGUAAUUCUUUAUCUCGCUUUUGUUAGGCGCUGCCCCCCCGGCCGUUAAACCCCCCAAUUUUUUCUGGUUGACCUCGGAUCAGGUAGGAAUACCCGCUGAACUUAAGCAUAUCAAUAAGCGGAGGAAAAGAAACCAACAGGGAUUCCCCUAGUAACGGCGAGUGAAGCGGGAACAGCUCAAAUUUGAAAUCUGGCCCUUGGGUCCGAGUUGUAAUUUGUAGAGGAUGCUUUUGGUGCGGUGCCUUCCGAGUUCCCUGGAACGGGACGCCUUAGAGGGUGAGAGCCCCGUACGGUUGGACGCCUAGCCUCUGUAAAGCUCCUUCGACGAGUCGAGUAGUUUGGGAAUGCUGCUCUAAAUGGGAGGUAUAUUUCUUCUAAAGCUAAAUACUGGCCAGAGACCGAUAGCGCACAAGUAGAGUGAUCGAAAGAUGAAAAGCACUUUGAAAAGAGGGUUAAAUAGCACGUGAAAUUGUUGAAAGGGAAGCGUUUAUCACCAGACUUUUUCUGGGGGGAUCAUCCGGUGUUCUCACCGGUGCACUUCCCCCAGUUGAGGCCAGCAUCGGUUUUCGGAGGGGGAUAAAAGCUUCGGGAAUGUGACUCCCUCGGGAGUGUUAUAGCCCGUUGCAUAAUACCCUUCUGGGGACCGAGGUUCGCGCAUCUGCAAG